AUCUAUGGCCAUACCAUCCUGAACGCGCCCGAUCUCGUUUAAUCUCGGAAGCUAAGCAGGGUUGGGCCUGGUUAGUAUUCAAAUGGGAGGAAAGACAUAAGAAAAAUAAUAAAUG
Molecule: ribosomal RNA, 115 nt
Filed under: Castor canadensis (American beaver)
Lineage: Eukaryota; Metazoa; Chordata; Mammalia; Rodentia; Castoridae
Source: RNAcentral